RNAcentral lists this ribosomal RNA (330 nucleotides) under Mesomexovis oaxaca. Its description in RNAcentral is "partial 12S ribosomal RNA". The record is from RNAcentral. Lineage: Eukaryota; Metazoa; Arthropoda; Arachnida; Scorpiones; Vaejovidae.
UAAAAUUUAUAAAAUUAGGUAGUAAAGAAAUUUCCGAAACCUAAAGAAUUUGGCGGUAUUUUAAAUAAUUGGAGGAACCUGUUAUUUAAUUGACAAUCCACAACAUAUCUUCCCUAAAUUUUAUUUGUAUAUCGUCGUUUUGAUAAUAUUUAAAAAUUAUAAUCAAUCCCAAUAAACUUUUUAAAAUCAGAUCAAGGUGCAGUAUAUUUAGGUUAUAAUGGGUUACAAUAUAUUUAUAUAUAAUGGAUAUAAAUUUGAAAUUAUAUUGAAAGUGGAUUCAAAAGUAAUAUUAAAUUAAAAUGUUAAUUUGAUUAAUAAUUUAAAAUAUGC